This 510-nucleotide ribosomal RNA is filed under the name uncultured bacterium. RNAcentral describes it as "partial 16S ribosomal RNA". It matches the Rfam family "Bacterial small subunit ribosomal RNA", at positions 28 to 507 of the family's 1533-position model. The record is from RNAcentral.
GACGAACGCUGGCGGCGUGCUUAACACAUGCAAGUCGAACGAAGAGCGAUGGAAGCUUGCUUCUAUCACUCUUAGUGGCGAACGGGUGAGUAACGCGUAAUCAACCUGCCCUUCAGAGGGGGACAACAGUUGGAAACGACUGCUAAUACCGCAUACGAUCUAAUCUCGGCAUCGAGGAUAGAUGAAAGGUGGCCUCUACAUGUAAGCUAUCACUGAAGGAGGGGAUUGCGUCUGAUUAGCUAGUUGGAGGGGUAACGGCCCACCAAGGCGAUGAUCAGUAGCCGGUCUGAGAGGAUGAACGGCCACAUUGGGACGGAGACACGGCCCAGACUCCUACGGGAGGCAGCAGUGGGGAAUCUUCCGCAAGGGACGAAAGUCUGACGGAGCAACGCCGCGUGAGUGAUGACGGCCUUCGGGUUGUAAAGCUCUGUUAAUCGGGACGAAAGGCCUUCUUGCGAAUAGGGAGAAGGAUUGACGGUACCGGAAUAGAAAGCCACGGCUAACUACGUG